UAGUCCACGCAGUAAACGAUGAUAACUCGAUGUUGGCGAUACUCGGUCAGCGUCCAAGCGAAAGCGUUAAGUUAUCCACCUGGGGAGUACGCCGGCAACGGUGAAACUCAAAGGAAUUGACGGGGGCCCGCACAAGCGGUGGAGCAUGUGGUUUAAUUCGAUGAUACGCGAGGAACCUUACCAAGGCUUAAAUGGAGAAUGCCUUUCCUGGAAACAGGAUUUUCCUUCGGGACAUUCUUCAAGGUGCUGCAUGGUUGUCGUCAGCUCGUGCCGUGAGGUGUCGGGUUAAGUCCCAUAACGAGCGCAACCCCUACUUCUAGUUGCCAGCGGAUAAUGCCGGGGACUCUAGAGGAACUGCCCGUGCAAACGGAGAGGAAGGUGGGGAUGACGUCAAAUCAUCACGGCCCUUACGUCUUGGGCUACACACGUGCUACAAUGGCAGGUACAAAGGGCAGCUACACAGCGAUGUGAUGCUAAUCUCUAAAGCCUGUCUCAGUUCGGAUUGG
RNAcentral lists this ribosomal RNA (506 nucleotides) under uncultured bacterium. Its description in RNAcentral is "bacterial SSU rRNA". It matches the Rfam family "Bacterial small subunit ribosomal RNA", at positions 791 to 1301 of the family's 1533-position model. The record is from RNAcentral.